CGCGGCGGCGCCAUUAAAGCGGCUCGGAGGCGGCUCGGGAGCUUGGCGACGCUAGUGGCUGCGGCCGGCAGGCGGGAGCGGGCGUCCGGGCUCGGGCCCGGCGCGUCUUGGCGCCGUCAUGGCGGAACAGCAGUUCGGGCCGGACUCGGCGGCGGCUGGAGCCGGGGCCGGGGGUGGCUCGGAGCAGGCGGAGCAGCCGGAAGGGGCGGUGGGGGCUGGCGCGGGCAGCGCGGAGGGUGGCGGCGGCGGUGGGAUCGAGUCGGAAGGAGCCAAGAUUGACGCGAGCAAGAACGAGGAGGACGAAGGAAAAAUGUUCAUUGGAGGCCUUAGCUGGGACACUACAAAGAAAGAUCUGAAGGACUACUUCUCGAAAUUUGGUGAAGUUGUAGACUGCACUCUGAAGUUAGAUCCUAUCACAGGACGAUCAAGAGGUUUUGGCUUUGUACUGUUUAAAGAAUCUGAAAGUGUAGAUAAGGUCAUGGACCAGAAAGAACACAAACUGAAUGGAAAGGUGAUUGAUCCUAAAAGAGCUAAAGCCAUGAAAACGAAAGAACCCGUUAAAAAGAUUUUUGUUGGUGGCCUAUCUCCAGACACACCUGAGGAGAAAAUAAGGGAGUAUUUUGGAGGUUUUGGGGAGGUGGAAUCUAUAGAGCUCCCUAUGGACAACAAAACCAAUAAAAGGCGUGGAUUCUGCUUUAUUACUUUCAAGGAGGAAGAACCAGUAAAGAAAAUAAUGGAAAAGAAAUACCACAAUGUUGGGCUCAGUAAGUGUGAAAUAAAAGUAGCCAUGUCAAAGGAACAAUAUCAGCAGCAGCAGCAGUGGGGAAGCAGAGGUGGAUUUGUUGGACGAGCUCGUGGAAGAGGUGGUGGCCCCAGUCAAAACUGGAACCAGGGAUAUAGCAACUACUGGAAUCAGGGGUAUGGCAGCUAUGGCUACAAUAGUCAAGGGUACGGUGGCUAUGGAGGAUAUGACUACACUGGUUACAACAACUACUAUGGAUACGGUGAUUAUAGCAAUCAGCAGAGUGGUUAUGGGAAAGUAUCUCGGCGAGGUGGUCAUCAAAAUAGCUACAAACCAUACUAAAUUAUUCCAUUUGCAACUUAUCCCAAACAGCGGGAACUUCAUUGCAGGCCCUGUGUCGCGCUGACUUCACGAUUCUCACAGGCCCGCUCAAUGCGGACAGGGUACGAGAUGCUCACGCUCUCGAAUGCUGCCGUUUGGUGGAGAAGCAGUAUUUUCUCAUUUGAAGAUUCAUUUGAGGUGGCUCAUGCUACCUGCUAAUAGCAGUUCAAACUAAUUUUUUGUAUCAAGUCCUUGAAUUGGAAGUAAGACGUUGGGUCCCUCUGAAGUUUAAUUGAGUUCUCCUUAAAACAAAAUUUCUUUCACGGUCUUAUUUCUUAAUUGCUAUGCUUAAGAACCAGUUUGUUUUAUGCCCCUUCCUCAGUAUUGUAGAGCAAGUCUUGUGUUAAAAAGCCCAGUGUGACAGUGUCAUGAUGUAGUAGUGUCUUACUGGUUUUUUAAUAAAUCUUUUUGUAUAAA
Molecule: RNA transcript, 1540 nt
Organism: Alligator mississippiensis (American alligator)
Lineage: Eukaryota; Metazoa; Chordata; Crocodylia; Alligatoridae
Gene: HNRNPD
Gene name: heterogeneous nuclear ribonucleoprotein D
Exons: 9
Source: RefSeq, a predicted model, not a curated record